Molecule: long non-coding RNA, 3285 nt
Organism: Rosa rugosa (rugosa rose)
Lineage: Eukaryota; Viridiplantae; Streptophyta; Magnoliopsida; Rosales; Rosaceae
Exons: 4
Source: RefSeq, a predicted model, not a curated record
UUCACAUUAGCUUGAGGAAAAUAAUUUCUUUAUUGGCCUUAUAAAUACGCCUAUAUAUCAAGCCUAAUAUAAACACUGUUGUUUGAUCAAUAACACCUUUCUCAUGAAGAAACACCACCUAAAGCUGCACUCACUCUUCCUCCAAAGAAGCCAAAAUACCUCCAGAAAAAAUAAAAUCAGGAAGGUGGCUGCGUGAAACCUAGAGUUUAGGAAAGUUAGGGGCAUGGCGUGUUGCGCAUACACUAGACUCUCUUUUGUAUCUUUAACUGACAAUUAACUGUAUUCAAGGCCUGCUAGAUUUUAAUGUCAGUUCAUUUGUAGUGUUGGAAUAGAAUGCCUAUAGUUUGUGAAUUCACAAACAUGGUCCUUUACAAAGACUGAAUAAUGCAUUUUUUGUGACUUUGUUUAGAUACAAAGUUCUGUAGCACAUCUUCACUUUACAAAAUGAAAUAGUCUUUGAAUAAUGCUUUUGCUCUUAUGGUCAGUUUUCUUAUGUUUUUCCUCCUUAGACAUGAGGUUAACUUCCACCCUUUUAAGCUUUCAGCUUAUUUACUAGUUUCAUAUAUCUCUGUGUUGUAGGACUUCAGGGACAGACAACUAUUUCCCGCGCCUCUUUGGCCACAAAGAGCAGUAUAAGUCGUUGCUUUGAAGUUAUUUACCAUUUUACCCUGUCCUAGGUUUGAGGAGGUACCAACUUACAUUCAGGCUGCCUUACCAAGAUCAAUCCGUCGGUGCCUUUGGAUAGUCUGCAUUCUCAUUUGUGUCAUGUCAACAGGGAUGGGUGCCAUUCUGAAUGUAGCAAAACCAGAGGAAGGAUAACCAAUUGCUGUUUUUGGACUUGGGCCUUAUGUCUUGAGAAAACUUUGUUGAUACCAGUAAUCCUUAGACUUUGUUUUUAUUUCCUUUCCUGUUUGUUAUUAAAUGGGUUUUUCUAGGCUGCCGAAGGUGCAAGUGUUGCUUUGGCAUCAAGGAUUUUUGGGGUUAACUCGAAAAUACUGAGGUUUGAGGAAGCGACCUUUUUGUCCUGGUUUUGGAGAAGAAGGUGGGACUGAAGGAAUUUGUGAGUCCAAGAGACCAUGACAGUCCAGUGUAGGAGGUCAAAAGAUGUUCUAUUUUCCUCUUUCAAGUUUCCUACCUAAAUCUUCAUAUACAGCUCACUUUUAUAUUGAACCUCCUAAAUCAGUGGUUGAACUCAACAGGUUAUUGCUGAGAAGACAAUAGGUGCAGUAGCCAGAAGCAUAUACAGAGUGUUAGUGUGAUGAUCUAUGCUUUUGGUUGUGUCCCUGAUGUAUUUUUCUGGUUUACAAAUUACAACAUGCGAUUUUUCAAUUUUAAUACUGGAGCUACAAUUAGGUCUGUUUGACAAGGUUUGUUUUAGGUUAGGAUAAAGACUUCUGUUGUUCAAGACUUGAAAUUAAGAAUUCAUUACACACCGAUAUUUGAUUAUGUUGCAUUGUUAUGAACCUAAUCUUGUUAAGCGAAAUCAGUAUUUGUCUCUGACUAUAUUGUUUGACAUUAGUGUUCUAUCUACACUGCUGAACCUACUUCUAUCACAGGGAUGGGGUGCUGUGCCUUGUAGGAGGGUUGAACAAGAAAGCAAUCUUCCUGACCAAGCCGAUUAAUGGAAGGACUCUGAAAGUAACAUCAUAUUCUUCUAAGUUUUCAAUAACUUUUUGUCCUUAAUUCGUCCUCCUAAUUGGCUCAUUUCAUUCUUUUCCCUCUCUGUGGACUUAAAAUAUUUUCUUAUAUACUUUCAUGUUUUGAUUAUUUUCCAUGUAGCAUCUUCCUUCUGAACCAAAUCUCUUGUAACUCAAGGAUCCCAAAGGCCUCUGGUUUUCAUUGAAGAUGGUCAGAUUAGCCUGCUAAAUCAUUUGCUUGUUGGUGCCAUGUACUUUAAAUUCCAAGUGACUUUCUUCCUAGCGAGACAACCAAAUAACUUCCUCCAUUCUUGUACAGUAGAGCUUUUACUGUUGAAUUCUUAUUUUGGAAAUGGAACUUACUCGAGCAAUGCUUCAAAAGCAGGAAAAAGUUGCAUGCUUGAUCACUUAUAAUGAUGCCAGCCUUGCAGUACACUGAUGCAACAAGUACCAGAUUCAGGUACAAUUACUCACAUAAGUGUUAUGUAAUGAAGAUUUCAGGAAACUUCUACUCUCCUUCCCUAGUUUUAGACCAAACCUCGCGGGCAUGGUGAUCGAUGGGCAUUCCUCACUGAUUGGUAUGCCAUGAAUGCUUACGUAAUGUAUAAAAUCUGUUCAAGUGUAUAGAGAUCAUCUCUGUGCCCGGGUAUUGCUGAUGUUGAAGUCCUACAUUCUGAAAAUCAGUAUAUCUACAUAUGUAUAUUAUAUGGAUGUAUAUUCAUUGUGAAAACUGAAAACUUUCACAACAUUCUUGUUACAUAAAGUUGCAAAUAAUCAGACAAUGAUGAUUAAUUAAUAUACACGACCCCGCGCGCGCAUAUAUAAUGAAUAUGCUAGACGUCUAAAAUCUUUGUUCUUUUUUCUAACUUUAAUGUGGUGCUUCAAUCUUAGAAAUAAACAGGCUUAUCCUUUGGAUUUCCCAUAUCUCAAAUUGUUUUUUAAUGAAGGGUCUUUCAUGGGAUUUUCAAGGCACUGGUUCUAAGCGUUUCCUGUAGGAAUUGUUAUUCAUCCUAAAAGGAUUUAUGGUUUUGAUAGUUUGAUAUGCUUAUCAUACUUGACCUAUAUAGUUAGCUGAGGUUCUCUGCUUAACUUUAGUUCUCCAUCUUUUGUCUGUUAUGUUUUCUGAUCUUUUUGUAAGAUUGUUGUGGUCACCUGAAUUAAAGGCUAUAAAUAUCGACGUUACAAAUUUACACUAGAAAAUAGCAAGACAUGUUCUAGCAGGAGAGAAAGGCUCUGACUCACCCUUUACACCCUCAAAGCCAUUAUGUUGCAUCCACCUUGCUCCAACCUAAAAGGUAUGGAAUAGGCUUCAGGAAAGGAGAGGGCAAUGAUCAAAAUCAGAUUUAGACAAAAGUGCUUCACAUUAGCUCGAGGAAAAGAUUUUCUUCACAUGAGUUACAGCUUGCUCAUGAAGAAACACCACUUCAAGCUGCACUUGCUCUUCCUCCAAAAAAGCCUAAUACCUCCACAGAAACAAAUCAGGGAGGCAGAGGCGGCUGCCUGAAACCUAGCUAAGGUUUAGGACAAUUAGGAGUGCAGCAAUGCAUUCGAUCACUUUUUCUAUCUUUAACUGACAAUAUAUUAAUUGGUUUCAAGGUCUGCUAGAUUUUAAUAUAAUUUCAUGUGUAGUUUUAUUAUUGCAAUAUUA